This 193-nucleotide ribosomal RNA is filed under the name uncultured bacterium. Its description in RNAcentral is "partial 16S ribosomal RNA". It matches the Rfam family "Bacterial small subunit ribosomal RNA", at positions 1300 to 1500 of the family's 1533-position model. The record is from RNAcentral.
GGAGUCUGCAACCCGACUCCAUGAAGCUGGAUUCGCUAGUAAUCGCGCAUCAGCCACGGCGCGGUGAAUACGUUCCCGGGCCUUGUACACACCGCCCGUCAAGCCAUGGGAGCCGGGAGUGCCUGAAGUACGUGACCGCAAGGAGCGUCCUAGGGUAAGACCGGUGACUGGGGCUAAGUCGUAACAAGGUACC